UACGUAGGUGGCAAGCGUUGUCCGGAAUUAUUGGGCGUAAAGCGCGCGCAGGCGGUCCUUUAAGUCUGAUGUGAAAGCCCACGGCUCAACCGUGGAGGGUCAUUGGAAACUGGGGGACUUGAGUGCAGAAGAGGAGAGUGGAAUUCCACGUGUAGCGGUGAAAUGCGUAGAGAUGUGGAGGAACACCCGUGGCUAAGGCGGCUCUCUAGUACGGUACUAACGCUGAGACGCGAAAGCGUGGGGAGCGAACAGG
This 253-nucleotide ribosomal RNA is filed under the name uncultured bacterium. Its description in RNAcentral is "partial 16S ribosomal RNA". It matches the Rfam family "Bacterial small subunit ribosomal RNA", at positions 524 to 776 of the family's 1533-position model. The record is from RNAcentral.